GAAUGGGACUCUUCAGCUGGGCUGCUGUCUGUGUGUCUGCAUCUGUUGUCCCUGGGUGUCCCCAGGUCCUUAACUGGCCUCUCCCUGGGGGUCCGUGAGUCCAUCCACCUAGAUGCAUUUGAAUUUUUCUUUGUCACUUUGGGUCUCAUUCACUCGUGCUCAUGUGGUCAUCGGGCACAUGCUAGGCCCUCUGUGUAGCACUGGACACAGAGACCUAUGUCUGACCUGGUUGAGUCUUGGCCAUUUCUGUCUCAUUUGCUCCUUUCCUUUAGCCACUGUUGAAACUUUCCACCUGUUCCUAUUCAAAUGAAAUCCAAAGUCAUUAUCAGAGCCACUGCUCCUGUAGCUCCCCCAUGAUCCCUCUGAUCUCAUUUCCUAUGACUUUCCCCAUGCAGUUGAUGCUCUGGCCAUCUGACCGCUUCCGGGAUAAACUACCUCAGGGCCUUUGCGUGCACUAUCCAGGGAGAUUUCCCCUGGCUUGAUCCUCCUGUUCUUAGUCAUCCCCCUUCCCUACAUUCCUCCUACAACAGCCCUCUCCCACUCUUCAUCUCCUUUCCCUGGUUUCUCUUCUUAGAACUUACUGCUCCAUGGCUGAUAUAUUUCAUAGGCCUGUCUGUGUCUUCCACCUGAACACCAGCUCCGUGAGAACAGGGGCUGCCUUCUCUCCCCGCUGUGCCCAGAUCACCUGCUCCAGGCUUGUCUUGCCGUGAAUGAGAGGGAGAGAAGCACAUUCAUCAAUGCAUCCAGCUCCCUAGCCCUGUGCUGGGUGAUGCUGGGGACACGGCCCUAACCCUGCCCUCAGGGGGCUUCCAGUCCAGCUGUCAGACAAUGAUGAGCAGAAUGAGCAGGGCCAGGGCCUGAAAGCAGAGGGGGCUGUAGGAGCCCAGAAAUGGCACCUAAUGGAGUCAGAGAGGGCAACCUGGAGGUGUCAGCUGAGGGUGGGGAUAAGGAAAAAUGAGCUAGGCCUCUUUCUGAUCUCUGGGAACCAAAUGACCAGAGCAGGGCCAGUCUCAUCUUCCUCCCAGAGCUCCCAUGUUCUCCGUCUGUCAGAGAACUUUAGGGGUUGAGAUGUCUUGACUCAGUUCCAAUCGAGACCUUGCCCUGGUUUCAGUCUCCCAUUUGCGGUUUUUUUUUUUUUUUUGGCAGCUCUGGGGAUGGAACCCAGGGCCUGCAUGAUGUCAGGCAAGUGCUCUACCACUGAGCCAUACCCCUGCUCCCCUCUGCUCUCUCUACGUCGCCCCUUUCUUCUAGAUCUCUG
Molecule: long non-coding RNA, 1258 nt
Filed under: Marmota monax (woodchuck)
Lineage: Eukaryota; Metazoa; Chordata; Mammalia; Rodentia; Sciuridae
Source: RNAcentral